AACGAACGCUGGCGGCAUGCCUAACACAUGCAAGUCGAACGAGACCUUCGGGUCUAGUGGCGCACGGGUGCGUAACGCGUGGGAAUCUGCCCCUUGGUUCGGAAUAACAGUUAGAAAUGACUGCUAAUACCGGAUGAUGACUUCGGUCCAAAGAUUUAUCGCCAAGGGAUGAGCCCGCGUAAGAUUAGGUAGUUGGUGGGGUAAAGGCCUACCAAGCCGACGAUCUUUAGCUGGUCUGAGAGGAUGAUCAGCCACACUGGGACUGAGACACGGCCCAGACUCCUACGGGAGGCAGCAGUGGGGAAUAUUGGACAAUGGGCGAAAGCCUGAUCCAGCAAUGCCGCGUGAGUGAUGAAGGCCUUAGGGUUGUAAAGCUCUUUUACCAGGGAUGAUAAUGACAGUACCUGGAGAAUAAGCUCCGGCUAACUCCGUGCCAGCAGCCGCGGUAAU
This 450-nucleotide ribosomal RNA is filed under the name uncultured bacterium. RNAcentral's name for it is "bacterial SSU rRNA". It matches the Rfam family "Bacterial small subunit ribosomal RNA", at positions 29 to 524 of the family's 1533-position model. The record is from RNAcentral.